RNAcentral lists this small nuclear RNA (105 nucleotides) under Cavia porcellus (domestic guinea pig). Lineage: Eukaryota; Metazoa; Chordata; Mammalia; Rodentia; Caviidae. The record is from RNAcentral.
UAACUUUUCACUUCAGCAGCUCAUACACUAAACUGGACCAAUACAGAGAAGAUCAGCAUGGCCCCUGCCAGGGAGGACCCAAAGGAAGUUGUUUUAACACUGUUA